Molecule: long non-coding RNA, 3579 nt
Organism: Motacilla alba alba
Lineage: Eukaryota; Metazoa; Chordata; Aves; Passeriformes; Motacillidae
Exons: 3
Source: RefSeq, a predicted model, not a curated record
UGAAAGUAUCCGUCAUAACAUUCAUUAAUGGCAUCUACUAUGUCUUGCCCAGAGAUACUUUGGAACUCCUGGAAAACUUGGGGGGAGGGGGUGGAAAAAAAAAUCUUGUUUUAUUCUAGGUCAUUAAUAAUGAUCAACUUGCUUUUUGUGUUUUUUUCCUUGCUUCUCCCCAGUACUAUAACUAUUGAGUUUAUUUUUUACCUGUAUUAUUCUCAGUGUUUCAAUAUGUUUAUACUGCCCAGGUCAAACAACCUAAAUGAGUAGCCUGAAACUUGGCUUCUGGGACAUUCUCCCCCUGGGCUCCUCAGCCUAGAAUAUAAAAUGAAUGCAUGCCACAUAUCUAGCAACAUCUGUUUAGGACACUUGUAAGAACGUCCUGCUAGUAAGACAACUUCCUUGCGUGGCUUGGUUAAAACUGGCAAGACUCAUGGAUUGUGGCAAGGAGCCAGGACUCGUGUGACGCGCACACUCGCUGCAAGAUACAGAUACGCAGACACACAUGUAUCCAGGCUGCGCUGUGCUUUCUCCAUUACAGAAAGAGGGAAAUUCUUUUUCUGCUGACUACAGAACAUAUGGAGAAUGACAGUACAGGCAGGGCCCUCAGAUCUCAGGAAGAGAGCAGAACAUAGAGCAGACAGCUGAACUGCUGGAUUACCCAUCCACAACUGCUGCUGACUCCUGUUGCAGAGAAUCAUUUGCAGCAUGUUUUUGUGUUCGCCUGUCUUCUGCUGACAUGCUUCCCAUAGAAUCUAAUAUAGCAGAAAAAAUGAAAAAAAACCAGAAAAAGCAAAAUAUUUAACUGUAACCUGGGAAGGUUCUACAAGGACCUGGCUCUGGGGCUGGCACAUCCAUCUGGCCCUGCUGGGAGCCCUCAGCCACUGUCCCCACUGGCCUGCCCACCCACCACAUUGCUUCAGCCUUUUGUAUGUAGGUAUGGGAGAGGAUGUGGGAAGGGAACCAGUGUGUACUGAGGAGUCAUUUUUGUAGUUCUCUUCCUCUGUGUGUGCUAAUACCUCCAGAACACACAUAGUACAACUGCUACUCUGCACUUGGUAAAAAAGCUUACGCAUUAGGUAGGCUUCUUUCAUCUGGAAGAUCUCCAUAUUUGAUCUUGAGGCUAAUAUGUCAAUUAGACAUUUUUCUUCUGUGUCUACUCCCUGUAUGGAAAGAAGUAAAUAUGAAAAGAUGUUGUGUAGUAGAAACCCCAAUUUUUAGAAGAAAGCAAUGCUGUCCUUAUCAGAAAUAACAAAAUAAUAGCAGUUUCUGUAUAAUCUACCUGUUCAAAUUACUUCAAUAGUAAACCCCUGUAUUUCAAGUAUAUUUCUAAAUUUGAAUUUCAGCUUGUACCUUAGCAAGGGGGAAAUGAAGCAAGACUAGUGUUGACAGAAACCCAAGGGGAAUAAUUUUAGAACUUUAUUAAGAAUUAUUGUUUGCUGAAAGAAAUCAGAUGCAAAGAUUGAGCAUACAUCCCUAGCAAGUGUUCAGGAAAUCUGAAGUAGACAUGAGCAUAGGUAUUAUGUUGAUCUUCUCUUGUUUUAUCAUCUUCUUUUCCUUUUUUUUUUUUAAUAAUUUUUUUAGGAAUGCUAGUCUGUAAUAGAACUAGAAUAGAAUAGAUAUUAUUUAUGCUGAUUUUAGCACACUGAUGGAUAAACUUGAAAUAGCACUGUAUUUCUGAUGACUAGUGGACUAAGUGAUAGUACACUACUCCAGUGUACUGACUUUCAGUAGUUUAUCAACCAAUGAAAUGUAAAAAAAAAUUUGUGUAUGUUCAGUACUCUAAUUAAUGACUGCUACUCUAAGCAACUCAGAAUAUGAAGAUUACCUUCAAGGCAUGCCAAAGCUCAUGGGCAUCAUAGGAUGCAGGUGGAUACAUCAAGCCAACCAUAACUUCUUUAAAGUGAUGAGAGAGAUUCUCUUUCAGGUCUGUUAUCAGAUCCUUGAAGAGAAAAAGCAAGUGCACAGACCGGAUUAUCUGUAUAGUCAUGUUUUACUGAGACAGCUUAAAAAUUAUUAGUGUUUUUCCCUGUAAAUGAUUUAGGAUGAACUGUCAAAGAUGAAUUCUGGCUAAGAUUAAGUAAAGGGAAAAAAAUAAUUAAAAUAGUACAUCUUGUUCUACUAGUAUGAGCAAGAUGAGAAUAGAUGCACAAGCCAGUAGACCACAAUGGAUUGUUGAUUUUCAGUUCUUUAGAACAGAGAAGAAAAAUGCAGAUGUUUAAGUGCAACUACUACUUAAAAUCUUGGAAAAUUGAAUAUCACAGCAGAGCAUCUGCAGCUUCCAUUAACCUAUUCCCAGUGCAAAUCUGAGACAGGUAAGCACCUUUGGAAGAUCAAGUUCAUAAAACAUGGGUGAUUUUUUUUGAUUUUUUUCAGUGUUACCACAUGAAUAAUUUAAGAAAAAUCAUCUGUAUUGCUCCUAGUAAAUAAAAAUAUCAGCUUUGGAUAUCUGUAAGGCUAUGUGCUUCAGUUCAUGUUAUAUUUUACAUUCAAACUGAAUUCACUACUCUUGAUAGAUGCUGGGUUAAUAACAUGGAACCCCCUUUUUCCUCCUUAUAUUUCUCAGUUCUUUCUUGCCAGGUAGCUGAGUAAUGAAUCACAGUUUCUUCCCCAUUCUUCCCAUUCCUACUAGCAUUCUUCCAAAUGCUGCACAUGCCAAAAGCUUGUGAACUUAUUACUAGUAGUAAGUUCAAAAACUACUAGUUUUUGAUUGAGAAUACUUGUGCAUUUUUAAAAAAUAUUUUGUGUGCAGCACUAGACAUCUGUAAGGUGUUCUAGUCUGACUGAAUUGAAAAGCAUGCCAGAAACAGUUCCCAUUAUAUAAACUAGUAUGUUUCCAGGGCUGUAUUUUUUUCAGGCCUGUACUUUGGUUUUAAUACAUUUCUGAAUAUAAUUUAGUGGCUAGAGUUGCAAUGGAGAAAGACAUGCAUAUUAAAAAUUAAAGUUAUGAUGAAGAAACAUACAGAGUCUUUGGUGAAUGCACUUUAGAUUCAUUUGACAGCCACUAAAUCACACAUGGAGUAGAAAUUAAUUCAUUAAGACAUUUUACUUCUGACAACAUGCCUGUGGGAAAAUGGAUUAAUAAUUCAAAUGGGUACUACUUAAAAAUUAUUCCUGCAAUCAGGACCAAGGGAAGUAUUGGAAAUAAGAAAAGACAACUCUAACUUGUCAUUAUUUUAAUUUCCUACUCAUCUUUGCUGUAAGAAAUCCUCUGAGGCUACUUGUAAGAAGGAAUCUUAAAACUUCUCUGAAUCAUGCAGCUAGUUCAGGUCUCUUUUUAAUUUUUUAAUAUUUCUCUCCUAAUGUCUCAGUUUACAUUUGUCUAAUGAAAGGGCAUAGUGGCUACCAUAUUGAGCAGACUGAAGUGAAAUAAAGAGGGAGAAGGAUUGGACUAACAGGUUUACCAUAAAUUGAACUGAUAAGGUUAAAAUGGCUAUUGCCUUGCCACAUCUCUUUCCUGUCUUGUGAUGUUUACCACUCAUAAACUGGGAUUGCCAGAUGGCGCAUUUGUUCAAUGCACCCUAACCAGUGGGAUAAAUUGCAGGCAAGGAGGUGUGAUGUGUGGUAAAUUGUUUCAAAGAACAA